CAUCCAAUGAUGCUGAAAGUAUUUUGUUGCAAAGAUCUAAUAUUUGCCUUCUUCUGACCCAAUAGGAGAAUCAUAGCACAGACACCCAGGGUUCUGGAAGAAGUCCUUAAUCUCACCUGCAAACAAUUGCCACCUUUGGAAAACCAGCUUCUGGCUGACAACUGGGCUCUGGAAGAAGCUGAUCGCCUGACUAUGAAACACUAAUGGGAACUGCCCAGCAUGAACUGAAAAUUAUCCAAUCCAUUGAACCGUAAAGUUGGAGAUGCAAGUCAGCAUUCCAUUAUAAAAUUUAAGGAGUUUAUUCUUUAUUCUUUAUAAAUAUUUAAAGCUGUAAAUUUCACUGCUUUAGCUGCACCUUGCAAAUUUUAAAUUUUGUUAUCAUUCUAAUUUCCUUUAUGAUUGCUUUGGCCAAUGAUUAUUUGGAAGUAUGUUGCUUAAUUUCCAAAUAUUUGAGUUUUCUAGAUAUCUUAUGAUUAUUGGUAUCUAAUUUAAUUCCACUGUAGUCAGAGAAUUUAUUCCAUAUGAUUUAAAUCCUUUUAACUUUAUUGAAACUUGUUUUAUGGCCUAGCAUAUGGUCCAUUAGUGAACAUAGCACAUGUACUUGGGGGAAAAGAAGCGUAUCCUGCAAUUGUUUGGCAUGAGGUUCUAUAAAUGUCAAUUAGGUCAAUAUGAUUGACAGUAGUUCAUAUCAUUUAUGUCUUGAUUAUUUUUUUUCUAAUAUUCCAUUGAUUGCUAAGAAGGGUGUUAAAAUCUCCAACUAUAAUUGUAGAAUUGUCUACCUCUUUUUAAAAUUUUAUCCAUUUUUGCUCGACAUAUUUUGAAGCUCUAUUACUAGGAAAAUAUACAUUUAUAAUUGUUAUGUUUUCCAGGUGAAUGGACCUUUGUAUCAUUACAAAAUAUCCAUAUUUAUCUCUGAUAAUAAUCUUUAUAUUGACAUGUACUUUAUCUGAUAUUAUAACCACUCCAGACUUUGUAAGCUUACUGUUUGCACAGUAGACCUUUUUCCUCCAUUUUUCCCCAACUUACUUGUAUGUUUAUACUCAAAGUAGUUAUUUGAGUUUGCCUCUUUUUGUUCAUUUGAACCAUCUCUGUCACUUAAGCCCAUAGGGGUUGGUUGAGGGAUAAGCAGGAAAGGAGAACAUUGUGGUCCUGGUCUCGUUUGUACCCUUUCUACUUGAUGACAAAUUGCUAUAAGACACUAGAGACUUUGUGCCAGAUCAAAUAGUUUUCAGGUUAUGACAGACAGGUUAAGUUUCAAGAUCAUGUGGUAAUCCCCUGGACAUUUAGUCUAUGUGAGGGCCCAGGAGCAAGAUGAAGUUGUUUCUCAAAAGGAGUUCAGCAAUUUGCUAAAGAUGACAUGGCUUUCUUCACAUAUUCUAGUGACUUCUUCUGCAGUCUUCCUAUACUUCCCCCACACACAUUAGGAAUUGAACCCAGGGACGCUUUACCACUGAGCUACAACCCCAGUCCUUUUUAUUUAUUUAUUUAUUUAUUUAUUUUAUUUUGAGACAGGAUCUCCCUGAGUUCCUGAAGACCUCGCUAAAUAGCUGAGACUGGCCUGGAACUUGUGAUCCUCCUGUCUCAGGCUCCCAAGUCUCUGUGCCAUCACACCCAGCUCCCUUGGGUUUGCUAUAUGUUCCAUCAGAAUAGUGACCUAAACAUGAUUAGAGUGUGGGUCAUGGAAAUCAGCUGGCAUAUCUGCUUACAUAGCAGCCUAGACCACUUGAGGACUUUUUUCUUAGAUUUCCUCUCAAAACUGCAGCCAUUCAGGUAACUGAAAUUAUCUUUCAGGUAAAUGGGCAGGUAUAAGACACCCAAAUAUGGGGUGUGUUGCCUCAGAAUUCCAAGAAGGCAGCCAAAUACUAUAUUUCAACUAAUCUAAGAUGUCUUCAGUUGUAAAGUACACUACUGAUAUUCCACUGUGAAUAAUUUUUUUAAAUGCUGUCAAUAAAACCAUGAUAUGCCAUUGAUCAUGGGAUACACUGGCAUAUUAAAACUGGGGGGAUGAUGACAACCUUAUAAAUGCACUAAAUGCCACUGAAUUUUUCACUUUAAAAUGGUUAAUUUUACAUUGUGUUGAUUUCAUCUCAAUAAAUAACUUAUGUCCUUUAGAAUCAA
RNAcentral lists this long non-coding RNA (2118 nucleotides) under Marmota monax (woodchuck). Lineage: Eukaryota; Metazoa; Chordata; Mammalia; Rodentia; Sciuridae. The record is from RNAcentral.